AUGCCUGCCAUCCAUGACCUCCACACGCUGCGCCAAUCCUCCAGGGCCAUACAGACCUCCAUCACCGAGGUGACCGAGUUGGUGCUGGCGCUCCGCGCUGGGUUUGCGGAACAGAAUGCGGCGGUGGAGACUUCGACGACGACACCCCCUCCGCUACCCACGGUAUCAAAGGCAGAGGUGCUGCAGCCACUCGCGCCACCUUCCCCACCACGAGCAGCAGGCUCCCCACCGCCCACACUGCCGACGGCUGAGGUCCUGCAGCCACGUGCUACGGCGCCACCUGCCCCGCCAUCACCCCUGUUCGUGUCUGCCGUGGUUCUGCCACAUCUCCCCAUGGUGCUGCCGGGGCUUGCCGAGAUGCCACUGCAUCAGUCGUCGCCAUGGACGAACAUCGUGUUGCGUCGUCCUUGUUCUCCCCUGCGAGGCUGUGACCACGGUAACGAUUUACCGUCAAGAGGUUCCCUCGCGCAGUCACGCGUCCUCCAGAAGCGGCGCGCGGUUUGGUGUCAUCUCCACGGCCACCAGGUGCGGUGCGCCUGGAGGCGCAAGGCGAGGGGGCGGCGUGCAAGACGGAGGCGGUUUCGGCGUGCGCGUGGCCUCCUGACG
Molecule: long non-coding RNA, 606 nt
Filed under: Oryza sativa tropical japonica subgroup
Lineage: Eukaryota; Viridiplantae; Streptophyta; Magnoliopsida; Poales; Poaceae
Description: lncRNA OsKeNa_07g0029030
Source: RNAcentral